RNAcentral lists this microRNA precursor (104 nucleotides) under Marmota monax (woodchuck). The record is from RNAcentral. Lineage: Eukaryota; Metazoa; Chordata; Mammalia; Rodentia; Sciuridae.
AUAUUUAACACCUAGGAGACUUAUUAAAAUGCAGAAUCUGAUUGAGAAGGCCUGGGAUGGGGCCCAGGUUCUGAAUUUCUAAUGAGCUUCCAUGUGAUGCAGGG